RNAcentral lists this ribosomal RNA (849 nucleotides) under Streptomyces sp. RNAcentral's name for it is "bacterial SSU rRNA". It matches the Rfam family "Bacterial small subunit ribosomal RNA", at positions 90 to 960 of the family's 1533-position model. Lineage: Bacteria; Bacillati; Actinomycetota; Actinomycetes; Kitasatosporales; Streptomycetaceae. The record is from RNAcentral.
GAUUAGUGGCGACGGGUGAGUAACACGUGGGCAAUCUGCCCUGCACUCUGGGACAAGCCCUGGAAACGGGGUCUAAUACCGGAUAUGACCGUCCAUCGCAUGGUGGAUGGUGUAAAGCUCCGGCGGUGCAGGAUGAGCCCGCGGCCUAUCAGCUAGUUGGUGAGGUAGUGGCUCACCAAGGCGACGACGGGUAGCCGGCCUGAGAGGGCGACCGGCCACACUGGGACUGAGACACGGCCCAGACUCCUACGGGAGGCAGCAGUGGGGAAUAUUGCACAAUGGGCGAAAGCCUGAUGCAGCGACGCCGCGUGAGGGAUGACGGCCUUCGGGUUGUAAACCUCUUUCAGCAGGGAAGAAGCGAAAGUGACGGUACCUGCAGAAGAAGCGCCGGCUAACUACGUGCCAGCAGCCGCGGUAAUACGUAGGGCGCAAGCGUUGUCCGGAAUUAUUGGGCGUAAAGAGCUCGUAGGCGGCUUGUCACGUCGGUUGUGAAAGCCCGGGGCUUAACCCCGGGUCUGCAGUCGAUACGGGCAGGCUAGAGUUCGGUAGGGGAGAUCGGAAUUCCUGGUGUAGCGGUGAAAUGCGCAGAUAUCAGGAGGAACACCGGUGGCGAAGGCGGAUCUCUGGGCCGAUACUGACGCUGAGGAGCGAAAGCGUGGGGAGCGAACAGGAUUAGAUACCCUGGUAGUCCACGCCGUAAACGGUGGGCACUAGGUGUGGGCAACAUUCCACGUUGUCCGUGCCGCAGCUAACGCAUUAAGUGCCCCGCCUGGGGAGUACGGCGCAAGGCUAAACUCAAAGGAAUUGACGGGGGCCCGCACAGCGCGAGCAUGUGGCUAUCGACGCACG